This 203-nucleotide unclassified non-coding RNA is filed under the name Hevea brasiliensis (rubber tree). Lineage: Eukaryota; Viridiplantae; Streptophyta; Magnoliopsida; Malpighiales; Euphorbiaceae. The record is from RNAcentral.
UACACAAGAACACAGCAAUCAGCACCACGAUAGAAAGCAACGCCAAGGCUUUGGAAUCUUUCCUGGCCAGCAGUAUCCCAGAUCUGUAAAGUGAAGAGCCUAUCUUCGAAUUGCACUUCCUUAGUCAAGAAAUCAGCUCCAAUUGUCGCCUUGUAUUGAUUGCUAAACUUCUUAUUUACAUAUUGAUUCAUCAAAGAGGUCUU